CCUACGGGAGGCAGCAGUAGGGAAUCUUUCACAAUGGGCGAAAGCCUGAUGGAGCAACGCCGCGUGCAGGAUGAAGGCCUUCGGGUUGUAAACUGCUUUUAUAAGCGAGAAAUAUGAUGGUAACUUAUGAAUAAGGAUCGGCUAACUACGUGCCAGCAGCCGCGGUCAUACGUAGGAUCCGAGCAUUAUCCGGAGUGACUGGGUGUAAAGAGUUGCGUAGGUGGCAUAAUAAGUAGCUAGUGAAAUCUGGUGGCUCAACCAUUCAGACUAUUAGCUAAACUGUUAAGCUCGAGAGCGUUAGAGGUAACUGGAAUUUCGAGUGUAGGAGUGAAAUCCGUAGAUAUUAGAAGGAACACCAAUAGCGUAGGCAGGUUACUGGGACGGUUCUGACACUAAGGCACGAAAGCGUAGGGAGCAAACGGGAUUAGAUACCCUAGUAGUC
This 442-nucleotide ribosomal RNA is filed under the name uncultured bacterium. Its description in RNAcentral is "partial 16S ribosomal RNA". It matches the Rfam family "Bacterial small subunit ribosomal RNA", at positions 338 to 795 of the family's 1533-position model. The record is from RNAcentral.